Molecule: ribosomal RNA, 460 nt
Filed under: uncultured bacterium
Lineage: Bacteria
Description: partial 16S ribosomal RNA
Rfam family: Bacterial small subunit ribosomal RNA
Source: RNAcentral
CCUACGGGUGGCAGCAGUGAGGAAUAUUGGUCAAUGGACGAGAGUCUGAACCAGCCAAGUAGCGUGAAGGAUGACUGCCCUAUGGGUUGUAAACUUCUUUUAUAUGGGAAUAAAACGUUCCACGUGUGGGAUUUUGUAUGUACCAUAUGAAUAAGGAUCGGCUAACUCCGUGCCAGCAGCCGCGGUAAUACGGAGGAUCCGAGCGUUAUCCGGAUUUAUUGGGUUUAAAGGGAGCGUAGGUGGAUUGUUAAGUCAGUUGUGAAAGUUUGGGGCUCAACCGUAAAAUUGCAGUUGAAACUGGCAGUCUUGAGUACAGUAGAGGUGGGCGGAAUUCGUGGUGUAGCGGUGAAAUGCUUAGAUAUCACGAAGAACUCCGAUUGCGAAGGCAGUUCACUGGACUGCAACUGACACUGAGGCUCGAAAGUGUGGGUAUCAAACAGGAUUAGAUACCCUAGUAGUC